AGGGGCGUAGCUCAGCUGGUUUAGAGCGCUUCAGUCACAUUGAAGAGGUCAUCGGUUCGAAUCCGAUCGUCCCUACCA
Molecule: transfer RNA, 78 nt
Filed under: Bacteroidales bacterium
Lineage: Bacteria; Pseudomonadati; Bacteroidota; Bacteroidia; Bacteroidales
Also listed under: 2 other names
Description: tRNA-Val
Rfam family: tRNA
About the family: Transfer RNA (tRNA) molecules are approximately 80 nucleotides in length.
Source: RNAcentral